This 73-nucleotide transfer RNA is filed under the name Marmota monax (woodchuck). RNAcentral's name for it is "tRNA.Ala". The record is from RNAcentral. Lineage: Eukaryota; Metazoa; Chordata; Mammalia; Rodentia; Sciuridae.
UGGGGGCUGGGGCUCAGUGGUAGAGUGCUGGCCUAGCAUGUGUCAGGCACUGGGUUCGAUCCCCAGCACAUAA